CGAGCGAAGCGUAUUAGCGGAAGUUUUCGGAUGGAAGCGGAUAUGACUUAGCGGCGGACGGGUGAGUAACGCGUGGAUAACCUGCCUCAUACAGGGGGAUAACAGUUAGAAAUGACUGCUAAUACCGCAUAAGCGCACAGGACCGCAUGGUCCGGUGUGAAAAACUCCGGUGGUAUGAGAUGGAUCCGCGUCUGAUUAGCUGGUUGGUGAGGUAACGGCCCACCAAGGCGACGAUCAGUAGCCGACCUGAGAGGGUGGCCGGCCACAUUGGGACUGAGACACGGCCCAAACUCCUACGGGAGGCAGCAGUGGGGAAUAUUGCACAAUGGGGGAAACCCUGAUGCAGCAACGCCGCGUGAGUGAAGAAGUAUUUCGGUAUGUAAAGCUCUAUCAGCAGGGAAGAAGAAAGACGGUACCUGACUAAGAAGCCCCGGCUAACUACGUGCCAGCAGCCGCGGUAAUACGUAGGGGGCAAGCGUUAUCCGGAUUUACUGGGUGUAAAGGGAGCGUAGACGGCUGUGCAAGUCUGAAGUGAAAGCCCGUGGCUCAACCGCGGAACUGCUUUGGAAACUGUAUAGCUUGAGUACUGGAGAGGCAGGCGGAAUUCCUAGUGUAGCGGUGAAAAUGCGUAGAUAUUAGGAGGAACACCAGUGGGGAAGGCGGCCUGCUGGACAGAAACUGACGUUGAGGCUCGAAAGCGUGGGGGAGCAAACAGGAUUAGAUACCCUGGUAGUCCACGCGGUAAACGAUGAAUGCUAGGUGUUGGGGAGCAAAGCUCUUCGGUGCCGUCGCAAACGCAGUAAGCAUUCCACCUGGGGAGUACGUUCGCAAGAAUGAAACUCAAAGGAAUUGACGGGGACCCGCACAAGCGGUGGAGCAUGUGGUUUAAUUCGAAGCAACGCGAAGAACCUUACCAAGUCUUGACAUCCUCCUGAAUGAUGGGUAAAGCCGUCAGGCCUUCGGGACAGGAGAGACAGGUGGUGCAUGGUUGUCGUCAGCUCGUGUCGUGAGAUGUUGGGUUAAGUCCCGCAACGAGCGCAACCCUUAUCCUCAGUAGCCAGCGGCCAGGCCGGGCACUCUGUGGAGACUGCCAGGGAGAACCUGGAGGAAGGUGGGGAUGACGUCAAAUCAUCAUGCCCCUUAUGAUUUGGGCUACACACGUGCUACAAUGGCGUAAACAAAGGGAAGCGAAGUGGCGACACGGAGCGAACCCCAAAAAUAACGUCUCAGUUCGGAUUGUAGUCUGCAACUCGACUACAUGAAGCUGGAAUCGCUAGUAAUC
RNAcentral lists this ribosomal RNA (1282 nucleotides) under uncultured bacterium. Its description in RNAcentral is "bacterial SSU rRNA". It matches the Rfam family "Bacterial small subunit ribosomal RNA", at positions 58 to 1343 of the family's 1533-position model. The record is from RNAcentral.